GACGAACCGUGCGAACGUUAUUCGGAAUCACUGGGCUUAAAGCGCGUGUAGGCGGGUCGCCGCGUCGGCUGCUGAAAUCCCCCGGCUCAACCGGGGAACGGGCACCGAUACGGGCGGCCUCGAGGGGGGUAGGGGGACCUGGAACUUCCGGUGGAGCGGUGAAAUGCGUUGAGAUCGGAAGGAACGCCCGUGGCGAAAGCGGCUCACUGGACCAUUACUGACGCUGAGGCACGAAAGCUAGGGGAGCAAACAGG
RNAcentral lists this ribosomal RNA (254 nucleotides) under uncultured bacterium. RNAcentral's name for it is "partial 16S ribosomal RNA". It matches the Rfam family "Bacterial small subunit ribosomal RNA", at positions 524 to 776 of the family's 1533-position model. The record is from RNAcentral.